Passer montanus (Eurasian tree sparrow) is the source of this 2729-nucleotide RNA transcript. It is a transcript of the gene named ubiquitin conjugating enzyme E2 Q1, with no coding region annotated. NCBI's taxonomy places the organism in Eukaryota, Metazoa, Chordata, Aves, Passeriformes, Passeridae. The transcript is spliced from 14 exons. The record is from RefSeq and is a predicted model, not a curated record.
GUGUCACUUCCCCCCAUGUCGCGCGACGCUUCCGGCGGCGCCGCCCCGCCCGUUCCGCCGACGGCACUUCCGGGAGCGGGGCCGUGCCGCCGCCAUCUUGGGCGGGCUCCGGGGCUGCGGCGGCGGCGGCGGCGGAGCGGGUCCCUCCAUGGGAAGAUGCAGCGGGCGGGGCCGGAGGAGGCGGCGAGGGCGCAGGCGGCGGCGGGGGGACCCGGGCGGAGCGGCGCCGAGGUGGCGGCGGCCCCCGCCGGGCGGCUCCUGAGGCGGGAGCUGCGGCUGCUCGAGUCCAUCUUCCACCGCGGCCACGAGCGGUUCCGCAUCGGCAGCGCCUGCCCGGACGAGAUCAGCUGCGAGUUCGUGCCGGGGGCCGGGGCCCGCGCCGGCGCCUCUGCCUCCCGGGGGCCGCCGCCGGGGCCCGUCCGCAUCCACUGCAACAUCACGGAGUCUUAUCCAGCUGUUCCCCCCAUCUGGUCUGUGGAGUCAGACGAUCCCAACCUGGCAGCUAUCCUGGAGAGGCUGGUGGAAGUCAGGAAAGGAAACACCUUGCUUUUGCAGCACCUGAAGCGAAUAAUCUCUGACCUGUGCAAACUCUACAACCUCCCCCAACAUCCAGAUGUUGAAAUGUUGGACCAGCCUCUGCCGGCUGAACAGAGCACCCAGGAGGAGGUGUCCUCUGAAGAGGAAGAUGAAGAGAUGCCAGAGGACACUGAGGACUUGGACCACUAUGAGAUGAAAGAGGAAGAGCCGGCAGAUGGGAGAAAGACGGAGGAUGAAGGCAUUGGGAAGGAAAACUUGGCCAUUUUAGAGAAAAUAAAAAAGAACCAGAGGCAAGAUUACUUAAAUGGUGCAGUGUCUGGGUCUGUGCAGGCCACUGACCGGCUAAUGAAGGAGCUCAGGGAUAUUUACCGAUCACCAAGUUUCAAGGGCGGAUACUAUGCAGUUGAACUAGUGAAUGACAGCCUGUACGAUUGGAACGUCAAACUCCUGAAAGUCCAGAGAGAGGUGCAGCAGGCAAACCCUGAGCUUUCACACCCUCCAGACACCAGUGCUGCCUUUUCCUUGGGCCAGGCAGCUUUUAUUUUUAAGCUGGCAGCAUGGAAAAGGGGUGUGAUGGUCUUCUCUGCAAACCAGAAGCAGAAUGCUGGGUGCUGCCCACGUGGCUGCCCGGCUGUGCAGGGUUGACGAGGACAGCGCUUUGCACAACGAUCUUCAAAUCCUCAAAGAGAAAGAAGGAACAGAUUUCAUCCUCCUCAACUUCUCUUUUAAAGACAACUUUCCUUUUGAUCCACCAUUUGUAAGGGUUGUAUCCCCGGUGCUGUCAGGGGGGUAUGUUCUGGGUGGUGGUGCCAUCUGCAUGGAGCUGCUUACGAAGCAGGGCUGGAGUAGUGCCUACUCCAUCGAGUCGGUGAUCAUGCAGAUCAGUGCAACGCUGGUGAAAGGGAAGGCACGAGUACAAUUUGGAGCCAACAAGAACCAGUACAGCCUGACAAGAGCACAGCAGUCCUACAAGUCCCUGGUUCAGAUCCAUGAGAAGAAUGGCUGGUAUACACCACCCAAGGAGGAUGGCUAGUGUGGAUGCUGCAGGACCAAUCUGAAUAUCUUCUGGAUGCUCUACUUGGAUCUUAGUGAUGCCUCUUGGCUUUCUCCCAGGAUGUAAUAGCUCUGCCUGUUGCAGGACAAUACUGGCUGUUCAAAACUCUAAAUAACUGUUUAAGGAGUUGGACUGACCCAGAACACUUGCUGGGCCCAUGCUAGCAGGCAUUCUUAUUAAAACAAACUCUUGAGCCUCUUGUAUUGCUGGAAACUUUUGACUCUACUCCAGUCUAGAGCAUCCUCCUUACCUAUGCUAUGGAUUUAAUUUAUUUUCUUAUUUCAUGUACACUGCUUUUUUUUGUUACGGUGUAUGAUGGAUGUGUAUGGAAAAUGUAUCUUUGGAGAAAAAUUACAGUUUGUUAAUUUGAGAAUGCUGGUCUAACUAAUUUUUUCCAAGCUCCUGCUGGGUGGGUUGUGCCCUGCAAACCCUGCUGCAGCCCUGGUCCCAGGGUGAGGCAGUCGGUGGAGCUGUGGUUGCCCAAGACUUGGUGCAACCACCUUGGGAGAAGAAAAGCCCUUUUGUGUUUUGAAGGGAGCAGGGUUUCUGCCCCAUCUUCCCUGGGCAAACCCAGCUUUUCUGUAUAAACUGCAGACUUACACCUCGAAGCACAGCAGGGGAGAUCUGAGGCUGCCCUCUCCUGCAGUGGAGGAAGGGUCUGUGGGUGCAUCCCACACUUCUCCCUGUCCUCUUGCUGAGCAGUAAGCUGAGCUGAGGCCUGAGCUUUGUCCUGUUUCUCCCCACCAGCCACGCAUGGAGGCUGAGCCCUUUGUCCCCAUCCCUGCUGUGGCUGCAAGCUUCUGCAGGGAGUGGAGCACGGGGCUCUGUCCUGCCACUGCCCCCUCCCUGGCCAGGACCUGUUCCAGCAGUGAACACCCCGUUCUAUGGGGUUUUCUUUUACCCCCCUUAAGCUGUUCCUGCUCGCCUCUGUACCCCAGCCCCCCGUGGAGGGGGUUGCUGCAGUUGUGGCCUGUUUCCCUGAAUCCCCACGGCCCUGUUUUGAGUCAGCUGGAAGGAGAUUUGGGCUGUUGGAGCUCCUUAACUCGGGCCACGUCCUCGUCUGGAGGACAGAAGUGUCAAAGAUGGAACCAUGCGUAUUAAUUCACUGUGUUUGAAUAAAAGUCAUUAGAAAAUCAAA